Molecule: ribosomal RNA, 424 nt
Filed under: uncultured prokaryote
Description: partial 16S ribosomal RNA
Rfam family: Bacterial small subunit ribosomal RNA
Source: RNAcentral
UGGGGAAUCUUGGACAAUGGGGGAAACCCUGAUCUAGCCAUGCCGCGUGAGUGACGAAGGCCUUAGGGUCGUAAAGCUCUUUCGCCAGGGAAGAUAAUGACGGUACCUGGUAAAGAAACCCCGGCUAACUCCGUGCCAGCAGCCGCGGUAAUACGGAGGAGGCAAGCGUUAUCCGGAAUUAUUGGGCGUAAAGCGUUCGCAGGUGGUUAUUCAAGUCCGCUGUCAAAGCCCGGGGCUUAACCCUGGAGAGGCAGUAGAAACUGAAAAACUAGAGACCGGUAGGGGUAGAGGGAAUUCCCAGUGUAGCGGUGAAAUGCGUAGAGAUUGGGAAGAACACCAGUGGCGAAAGCGCUCUACUGGGCCGGUACUGACACUCAGGGACGAAAGCUAGGGGAGCGAAAGGGAUUAGAUACCCCUGUAGUCC